Molecule: long non-coding RNA, 3499 nt
Organism: Gopherus evgoodei (Goodes thornscrub tortoise)
Lineage: Eukaryota; Metazoa; Chordata; Testudines; Testudinidae
Exons: 3
Source: RefSeq, a predicted model, not a curated record
UAAAGGAUGCACCAGCAGAUGGGGGGAGGGGGGAGGCAUUAGAAGGAUGCAAAGGAGAGAUGGCUUUAGCAGCGACAUUUCAUGGGUUUGUGUGUCUGGCCCCUCAGAGAGGAGGGUAUUGCAGUGGAAUACUUGUGUGGAAGCGGGAGGAGGGAUAGCAUGGGAGAUGUUGAGGGUUUGGGGCAGGAGCCAGCAGCUUAAGGUUAAGAAAAUGAAGAUUCCAUUAAACAUCAUGGAAACGAGUGCAGUUUUGUAUUUGUAAAGUAUUUCCAGUGGCUUCUUCACAGACUGGGCUGAUCCCAGUCCUGGCUCUGAACACACCUGCAAUGGGGACUUUGACUCCAGUGCACAGACUCAAUCCCUCACAUGUAACAGGACCUGAAUUUUCUCAGGGCAUUUGCCUGUACAGCACUGCAGCCAGUAUUGCUGUAACACUUCAGUGAAAAUGCUGCCGAGGGAAGGGCUCCCAGCGGUGUAGUUAAUCCAGCUCCCCAGGGAGGUGGUACCUGCAUAGAGAGAAGCUCUCCUGUUGACAGCUGUCUACAGAUGGGGUGAGGUUGGGAGAACUACAUAGCUCAGGGGUGUGAAUUUUUUACAUCUGAGCGACGUACUUCUACCAAUACAGGCCUGUAAUGUAGACCAGCCCUAAGUCAGAUCUCUGCAUAAAGUGGGGGGAGGGAGAAAGACAUCUCAGACUCUGAAUUAGAAUUUACCAUUUAGCAGAUUGCUGGGGCUCAGUUCUGCCCCCCUUUGCUGAGACUGAGAACUGACUUCCUUGGGGCGGAUGAGGUGGUUUGAUAAAGGAAUCUAGGUAUGUGCAAUAGCAAUAUAAUCACCAAGACAGCUUAUUGGAAAAGAAUAUGCAAGUUGUGCUCAAUGCACCCAGCUACUUAAAGCACGGAUUCAGCUGGUGGGAUGGCAGAUGGCCUUUGUCACUCCUGCUAGCUCAGGCAUCCUGCAGCAGUUGUGUUCUUUCCCCUUCGGUACGUAACUUUUUUUUUUAUCUCCAGGACUCAAGGAAAUUUUUGCUUGAAGGCUUCAGACUGUCUCAUUCCUAUGACCGCCUUGUCCUAACAAGGCGACCAGGAUCCCCUACACUGCUCCAAAGGAGGGACGCAUGGGUGGACAGCUGCAGUUCUUCAUUUCUGCCUCCAUGGCACUGACAUGGAAAAUGUCACAAGGGGAUUUGUUUUGAAAGACUGAUGCGAAAACAGGAUUCUUAUGGAAACUAUUCUCUCAGCCUUAUCGUUAGAUAACAGGCCUUCGCUGAAAUCCACACAGGAGCUAGUCCACCCUCUGGAAGCUGCAAAAGACACAAGAGUCUUCUCAUCAGAACUCGCUCGUAAUAUGAACCAUAGCCUAGACACCCUUUAAUGCCUCAAUUUCUGCAGCACUCCAAUAUUACAGGCCAGUUACUGUGAGAGCUGCAGGUAAGUUUUUUAAACUGAGCAUUUUUAAAAUGAGUUAAAUAAAAGUGAUUCACAAUAUCAGGGUCUUACCCCUUGUGGUAUUUAUGCUGAUAUUAAAUUCAAUUUGUUUGCCUCUACCGUGGUGUCUCAGAUUUUUUUGUACAGACAAUGACAUUGUAGAUGUUAUCAAGUGGGAGCAGGAAGCUUUCGCAACUGGCUAAUGGACAGUUAGGGGUUUUGGGCCCCAGGAAGGCUGUUUGGGACUGUGGGCAAGAACAUUACCUGGAUGUUUCUUUUGAAAAGGAACAGCAGUAAAAUAAUUAGCUAUGUUAUUUAAAGUAUCAUUAUUCUACCUUUAAGCCAUUGAGAUAAUGGAGUAUCUAAGGGUGCAUCUUCGCUUGGAAAAGUGGUGUUGACUCAUAUUAAAACUAUAACCUGCCUUGUCUUCACUAGGAUUUAACCAAGUUAUUUACCAUGUGUUAGUUAACACAAGUUCAGAACACACCUUUAGAGAAGACCUAAGAGCUACUGUUUGAGCUGCCUGAGGACUCAGGUAGAUGCUACUGCUUCAGUUUAUAUUUGCAAGGUCAUCUCCACAAUGAUGAAGGCUCAGAAACCAAAGAAAUUGUUUACUUUCCAUGAAAGCUUAGAUAUGGAAGCAGAAGUCUGUAGUACAGCUGGUGAGAAGUUCUCAAUCUAAACUGUUUUUCUGUUCUAUGGGCCAGGCUCCUCAGUCAGACUACAUCCUGCAGAAUGCACCAUGGCCAGGGACUCUCAUGUUUCAAGAGAGGAGGCCACAGCACAUGAUGGGAAAUUCCAUCUCACCUAUAGAGAAGAACAAGACCACAGCAGCACUUCCAAAUCAAAAAAAUCUUGACCGAAUACCAAAACAUUUCAAUAUUCACAUUUCUGCCUAAACGCUGACAUUUGCCACAGGAAAAGAAUUUUUUUGUUGACUAGCUCUAGUCUGCAGCAAGUUCCAUGGCUAUAGUGUUGUAGAUUACAGAAGGACAGAGUCUAAAUGAAUUGCCUGGACCAACUGCUAAACAUGACCUUGGGCAAGUAACUUCCCCUUCCCGUGCCUCAGUUUCUCCAUCUGCAAAAUGGGGAUAAUGAUCCAGAGCACCUCUGUAAAGCAUUUGGAGAGUUACAAAUAAAGAAUGCAGAGUAAGAGCUAGUUAUUAUUAAAAUACAUUUUGGUUUUAGUCAACCACUUUUAAGCUUUAGAAGCCCCCAAAAUCAUUUGGCCCAGAUUCUCAGCCCUGCUUCUGCCCCUUUGCACUGCUCAGGCAGGGCAAAGCAGCCUAAAAGCUGCUCUACAGGGCAUUUCAAAGGACUCUAUGGCACAGGGCAAUCUCUGGGUGGCAUAAAGUAAGCAUAUCUGGCUCUAUGCUACCCACUACCCUUCCCCUGGUGUACGGAGAGUGACACUGAGUGGGAGGAAGCAGGGCUGGGUACAAUGUAUUCUUACCGAUCAUCACAGAGACAACCACCCCUCCCCAGGGAGUCAGUGGGAGUUUUGCUCCAUUUAGACUGCAAGAUUUGGCUGUAGGUCAAUAACAGACUGAUGAAGCAUCUGUCCCCUCCACCCAAGAAAGAUACUACACAGAAUUUGUUUGUUUCACACGCACACAGGUAUGAGAAGCUGAAAGCUGACUAUUUCCCCUUAGAGUCUGGUAGAUUACAAGAUUUCAACAUCUUUAAAAAAGGAGAAACACAUUUUAUAUUAUUAAGCUUGAAUUCAGCGCUGUAUUUUUGUCAUUUGCAUUUUCUUUAAUGCAUCAAUAUGAGUUGUUCUCAGUCUUACAAUAGCAACACAGAUGCUCUCAAUUGCCUUGUAAACAGUAAUGUUUGAAAAAGAAGGGCACAACUGAAUUUAAUCAGAAAAACAGGUGUCCACUUGAAGCAAAAUUUAAGUUUGUACUAAUCUAAUUAUUUACUCUCUAGGCAGACGGCCCACCCUACUGAUUACUGGUAUUUCUGCUAGCUUUUUUAAGCUUGCUGCAUAUUUCAAAUCCUACUACAGCAAUCCACUCUCCAAUUAUAUUGGAGAGCUCUCCCAGCGCUGCAUGUAAACCACAUCCCUUACG